AAUGGGCGAAAGCCUGACGCAGCGACGCCGCGUGUGGGAUGAAGGAGCUUUGCUUUGUAAACCACUGUCGGACGGGAAGAAAAAGUUCCUACGGGGGCUUGGGACAGUACCGUCAGAGGAAGCACCGGCUAACUACGUGCCAGCAGCCGCGGUAAUACGUAGGGUGCGAGCGUUGUCCGGAAUUACUGGGUGUAAAGGGUGCGUAGGCGGGCAUGUGCGUCGGAGGUUAAAUACAACGGCUUAACCGUUGAACUGCCUUCGAAACGGCAUGUCUUGAAUGUGGGAGAGGAUGAUGGAAUUCCUGGUGUAGCGGUGAAAUGCGUAGAUAUCAGGAGGAACACCGGUGGCGAAGGCGGUCAUCUGGCCCACUAUUGACGCUGAGGCACGAAAGCGUGGGGAGCAAA
RNAcentral lists this ribosomal RNA (404 nucleotides) under uncultured bacterium. RNAcentral describes it as "bacterial SSU rRNA". It matches the Rfam family "Bacterial small subunit ribosomal RNA", at positions 370 to 772 of the family's 1533-position model. The record is from RNAcentral.